This 177-nucleotide ribosomal RNA is filed under the name uncultured Vibrio sp. Its description in RNAcentral is "partial 16S ribosomal RNA". It matches the Rfam family "Bacterial small subunit ribosomal RNA", at positions 365 to 528 of the family's 1533-position model. Lineage: Bacteria; Pseudomonadati; Pseudomonadota; Gammaproteobacteria; Vibrionales; Vibrionaceae. The record is from RNAcentral.
GGGUUCAUGGGCGCAGCCUGAAGGCAGCCCUGCCGCGGUGAUAUGAAGAAGGCCUUCGGGUUGUAAAGCUACUUUCAGUUCGUGAGGAAGGCGGCGUCGAUUAAUAGCGGCGUUGCUUUGACGUUAGCGACAGAAGAAGCACCGGCUAACUCCGUGCCAGCAGCCGCGGUAAUACGA